UCAAACUCUUCAGUACAGCUACACUCUGUUGAGUGUGAAUGAUCUUACUAUAUAGUACCCAAACUGGUCAAGUCCCUGUAAAGAGAAGGCCAAAUUACAGGGCUUGAGCUGUGUAGGGAUCUGGCUUCUUCAUGGGUGUCCCUAGUGGAUAGCCUCAAGUCUAGAACAGAGGGACUGCUUGGCUGUCUACAGUGGAAAAGACCUUCAAGUUGACGAUGACAUGUUGAAGACUGGAAGUGUCUUCAGACUGUCUUCAGUGUUGCUGGGUAGACUGGAGCUGCAUCUUCUACACCUCAGCCGUCCAUCUCACAAGCCUCCAUAUGGGUUUGUUAAAGACCACAUCCUCUGGACCAGCAAGAUGGCUCAGAACUUGCCAACAAAGCUGACGACAUGAACUUGAUCCUUGAGACCUACAUGGUGGGAGAAGGGAACUUGUCUACUCUGGUUAUCCACAGUCCUCCAUGUGUGUACUGUGGUAUGUCUCCACACGCACUAACUAAAUGAACAAAGUAAAAUGUUUUU
Molecule: long non-coding RNA, 522 nt
Organism: Mastomys coucha (southern multimammate mouse)
Lineage: Eukaryota; Metazoa; Chordata; Mammalia; Rodentia; Muridae
Exons: 4
Source: RefSeq, a predicted model, not a curated record